This 917-nucleotide non-coding RNA is filed under the name Melanerpes carolinus. RNAcentral describes it as "partial 12S ribosomal RNA". It matches the Rfam family "Bacterial small subunit ribosomal RNA". Lineage: Eukaryota; Metazoa; Chordata; Aves; Piciformes; Picidae. The record is from RNAcentral.
AAAGACUUAGUCCUAACCUUGUUAUUAAUUUUUGCCGAAUCUAUACAUGCAAGUAUCCGCAUCCCAGUGUAAAUGCCCCUAGCCCCCUACAAGGACAAGAGGAGCAGGCAUCAGGCACACCCUCUGUAGCCCAAAACGCCUUGCUCAGCCACACCCCCACGGGUAUUCAGCAGUAAUUAACAUUAAGCAAUAAGUGAAAACUUGACUUAGUCACGGCAACAUAGGGUUGGUAAAUCUUGUGCCAGCCACCGCGGUCAUACAAGAAACCCAAAUUAAUAACGCACGGCGUAAAGAGUGAUUAAACAUCUAUCGUUCCUGUCUGAGGCCAAAACAUGCCUGAGCCGUCACAAGCCCAAGACAUACUUAAGCCCAUAAAUUCACCUCAACUUCAACGAUCAACCGAACUCACGAAAGCCAGGGGACAAACUGGGAUUAGAUACCCCACUAUGCCUGGCCGUUAAUUCAAAUGCUUUCUUACCUAAGCAUUCGCCAGGGAAUUACGAGCACAAACGCUUAAAACCCUAAGGACUUGGCGGUGUCCCAAACCCACCUAGAGGAGCCUGUUCUAUAAUCGAUAACCCACGCUACACCCAACCUCCCCUUGCAAUAAACAGCCUAUAUACCGCCGUCGUCAGCCCACCUCCACUGAGAGUCCAACAGUGAGCAUAAUAGCUUCACCCGCUAAAAAGACAGGUCAAGGUAUAGCCCAUGGGGGGGAAAGAAAUGGGCUACAUUUUCUGACACAGACAAUAACGAAAGAGGACCUGAAAUCCAUCCUCAGAAGGCGGAUUUAGCAGUAAGACAUAACCACCAUGCUUGCCUUAAACUGGCCCUAGGACACGUACAUACCGCCCGUCACCCUCCUCGCAAGCAACACCUCUCCUCACCAUAGAACUGCAAUUAGCUAAAGAUGAGGU